AACGAACGCUGGCGGCAUGCCUAACACAUGCAAGUCGAACGAAGCCUUCGGGCUUAGUGGCGCACGGGUGCGUAACGCGUGGGAAUCUGCCCUUGGGUUCGGAAUAACAGUUAGAAAUGACUGCUAAUACCGGAUGAUGACGAAAGUCCAAAGAUUUAUCGCCCAAGGAUGAGCCCGCGUAGGAUUAGGUAGUUGGUGGGGUAAAGGCCUACCAAGCCGACGAUCCUUAGCUGGUCUGAGAGGAUGAUCAGCCACACUGGGACUGAGACACGGCCCAGACUCCUACGGGAGGCAGCAGUGGGGAAUAUUGGACAAUGGGCGAAAGCCUGAUCCAGCAAUGCCGCGUGCAGGAAGAAGGCCUUCGGGUUGUAAACUGCUUUUGUACGGAACGAAACGGUCUGGGCUAAUACCCCGGGCUAAUGACGGUACCGUAAGAAUAAGCACCGGCUAACUACGUG
Molecule: ribosomal RNA, 458 nt
Filed under: uncultured bacterium
Lineage: Bacteria
Description: bacterial SSU rRNA
Rfam family: Bacterial small subunit ribosomal RNA
Source: RNAcentral